CCUACGGGAGGCUGCAGUGAGGAAUAUUGGUCAAUGGGCGGGAGCCUGACCCAGCCAAGUCGCGUGAGGGAAGACGGUCCUACGGAUUGUAAACCUCUUUUGCCGGGUAGCAACGGGGUCCUUGCGAGGGCCCGAUGAGAGUACCCGGAGAAAAAGCAUCGGCUAACUCCGUGCCAGCAGCCGCGGUCAUACGGAGGAUGCGAGCGUUAUCCGGAUUUAUUGGGUUUAAAGGUUGCGUAGGCGGAAUAUCCAGUCGGCGGUAAAAAUUCGGGGCUCAACCCCGUCGUGCCGUUGAAACUGAUGUUCUGGAGUGGGCGAGAAGUAUGCGGAAUGCGUGGUGGAGCGGUGAAAUGCAUAGAUAUCACGCAGAACUCCGAUUGCGAAGGCAGCAUACCGGCGCCCAACUGACGCUCAGGCACGAAAGCGUGGGUAUCGAACAGGAUUAGAUACCCGGGUAGUC
This 460-nucleotide ribosomal RNA is filed under the name uncultured bacterium. Its description in RNAcentral is "partial 16S ribosomal RNA". It matches the Rfam family "Bacterial small subunit ribosomal RNA", at positions 338 to 795 of the family's 1533-position model. The record is from RNAcentral.